GAUGAACGCUGGCGGCGUGCCUAACACAUGCAAGUCGAACGGAGAUUACGGACGGAAGUUUUCGGAUGGAAGACUGUAAUUCUUAGUGGCGGACGGGUGAGUAACGCGUGGGCAACCUGCCCUAUACAGGGGGAUAGCAGCUGGAAACGGCUGGUAAGACCGCAUAAGUCGGCGAGACCGCAUGGUUUUGCCGGGAAAUGAGCAAUCAGGUAUAGGAUGGGCCCGCGUCCGAUUAGCCAGUUGGCAGGGUAAAAGCCUACCAAAGCAACGAUCGGUAGCCGGACUGAGAGGGCGGACGGCCACAUUGGGACUGAGACACGGCCCAAACUCCUACGGGAGGCAGCAGUGGGGGAUAUUGCACAAUGGAGGAGACGCUGAUGCAGCGACGCCGCGUGAGUGAAGAAGUAGUUCGGUAUGUAAAGCUCUAUCAGCAGGGAAGAUGAUGACGGUACCUGACGAAGAAGCCCCGGCUAACUACGUG
Molecule: ribosomal RNA, 481 nt
Filed under: uncultured bacterium
Lineage: Bacteria
Description: partial 16S ribosomal RNA
Rfam family: Bacterial small subunit ribosomal RNA
Source: RNAcentral